GAUGAACGCUAGCGGGAGGCUUAACACAUGCAAGUCGAGGGGUAACAUGAGGUAGCAAUACUUUGAUGACGACCGGCGUACGGGUGAGUAACGCGUAUGCAACCUGCCCUGUACAGGGGGAUAACCCGGAGAAAUUCGGACUAAUACCCCAUAAAGAUAUCCGGAGGCAUCUUUGGAUAUUUAAAGUUUCGGCGGUACGGGAUGGGCAUGCGUAACAUUAGCUGGUUGGUAGGGUAACGGCCUACCAAGGCGACGAUGUUUAGGGGUCCUGAGAGGGUGAUCCCCCACACUGGUACUGAGACACGGACCAGACUCCUACGGGAGGCAG
Molecule: ribosomal RNA, 328 nt
Filed under: uncultured Bacteroidota bacterium
Lineage: Bacteria; Pseudomonadati; Bacteroidota
Description: bacterial SSU rRNA
Rfam family: Bacterial small subunit ribosomal RNA
Source: RNAcentral